AUUGAACGCUGGCGGCAGGCCUAACACAUGCAAGUCGAGCGGUAACAGGUCCUUCGGGAUGCUGACGAGCGGCGGACGGGUGAGUAAUGCAUAGGAAUCUGCCCGGUAGUGGGGGAUAACCUGGGGAAACCCAGGCUAAUACCGCAUACGUCCUACGGGAGAAAGGGGGCUCCGGCUCCCGCUAUUGGAUGAGCCUAUGUCGGAUUAGCUAGUUGGUGAGGUAAUGGCUCACCAAGGCAACGAUCCGUAGCUGGUCUGAGAGGAUGAUCAGCCACAUCGGGACUGAGACACGGCCCGAACUCCUACGGGAGGCAGCAGUGGGGAAUAUUGGACAAUGGGCGCAAGCCUGAUCCAGCCAUGCCGCGUGUGUGAAGAAGGCCCUCGGGUUGUAAAGCACUUUCAGCGAGGAAGAACGCCUAGGGGUUAAUACCCCCGAGGAAAGACAUCACUCGCAGAAGAAGCACCGGCUAACUCCGUGCCAGCAGCCGCGGUAAUACGGAGGGUGCAAGCGUUAAUCGGAAUUACUGGGCGUAAAGCGCGCGUAGGUGGCUUGAUAAGCCGGUUGUGAAAGCCCCGGGCUCAACCUGGGAACGGCAUCCGGAACUGUCAAGCUAGAGUGCAGGAGAGGAAGGUAGAAUUCCCGGUGUAGCGGUGAAAUGCGUAGAGAUCGGGAGGAAUACCAGUGGCGAAGGCGGCCUUCUGGACUGACACUGACACUGAGGUGCGAAAGCGUGGGUAGCAAACA
Molecule: ribosomal RNA, 745 nt
Filed under: uncultured Halomonas sp.
Lineage: Bacteria; Pseudomonadati; Pseudomonadota; Gammaproteobacteria; Oceanospirillales; Halomonadaceae
Description: bacterial SSU rRNA
Rfam family: Bacterial small subunit ribosomal RNA
Source: RNAcentral